RNAcentral lists this ribosomal RNA (468 nucleotides) under uncultured bacterium. Its description in RNAcentral is "partial 16S ribosomal RNA". It matches the Rfam family "Bacterial small subunit ribosomal RNA", at positions 28 to 507 of the family's 1533-position model. The record is from RNAcentral.
GACGAACGCUGGCGGCGUGCUUAACACAUGCAAGUCGAACGGAAAGGCCCUGCUUUUGUGGGGUGCUCGAGUGGCGAGCGGGUGAGUAACACGUGAGUAACCUGCCCUUGACUUUGGGAUAACUUCAGGAAACUGGGGCUAAUACCGGAUAGGAGCUCCUGCUGCAUGGUGGGGGUUGGAAAGUUUCGGCGGUUGGGGAUGGACUCGCGGCUUAUCAGCUUGUUGGUGGGGUAGUGGCUUACCAAGGCUUUGACGGGUAGCCGGCCUGAGAGGGUGACCGGCCACAUUGGGACUGUGAUACGGCCCAGACUCCUACGGGAGGCAGCAGUGGGGAAUAUUGCACAAUGGGCGGAAGCCUGAUGCAGCAACGCCGCGUGCGGGAUGACGGCCUUCGGGUUGUAAACCGCUUUCGCCUGUGACGAAGCGUGAGUGACGGUAAUGGGUAAAGAAGCACCGGCUAACUACGUG